Long non-coding RNA from Danaus plexippus (monarch butterfly), 1862 nucleotides. RefSeq lists it as uncharacterized. The record is from RefSeq and is a predicted model, not a curated record. The transcript is spliced from 4 exons. NCBI's taxonomy places the organism in Eukaryota, Metazoa, Arthropoda, Insecta, Lepidoptera, Nymphalidae.
ACAUUAGAUGUUAGAUCGGGAGAUGAUGCGUUUUGACGUGCGGGAGCUUUGAAAAUCUUUUAUAAAGACUCACUGCUCUAGACGCUAGAGUUACGAAACUGUAUCUUGUUCGUACAUUGAUUUAUUAAGGACAAAUAAAAGUCGGUGCACAGGAAGAGGUGUUGAAUUAGGUGACGGCAGGUGGACUAUAAACAAAGGGUACGGGAACGGCGGCUUGGACGACGGCCAGAUGGGCCAGAGACUAAUAGUACCGUUAGCCAUUUCUCUGAUGAUAACGUAAUCUUAAAUGAUGACCCAAUAAACUACAAAACAUAUCUGAUUCAACACUAAAUACGUUUAAAAUAUUCUACCAUGAUAAAAUUUACAAUAGAAUUUCAAAUGUAAGCUGUAGUUUCUUAUAAAUGAUGUUCAGAACUCCGCACCUACAGUCUGUACUACAGUUAUCAUUCGCUUUGUAUUGAACAUUGCUUUGUAAUUACGAUGUAAAUGUUUGUUCAUUUAAGUGAAGCUAACAUUUUUCGGAUUACUACGCGUAUUUUAUUGUUUUUAAAAACUACAUGCUCUCGACGUUUCGGUUACUUUGCAGCAACCGUGACUACGGACAGACGAGACGUGUUUGUUCAUUUGUCGGAGCCGGUAACGGAUCACGUCCACGGCCAGUGCUCCGCAGUCCGAAGUGCUCGAUAUGAUUCGAUGAAGAGAGAGUUGACAAUACAUUAUAUAGACUUUAGAAAAUGUAGUUCAGCAUUUUUGUACAUGAUGGACAACGUCGAGAGAAACGCCGAAAAAAUAUUACUGCAGAUACAUCAUAAAAUGUCUUCCCAAUACUUACAGCUGAUCAUUAAUGUCUUGUGAAGAGACAAGGACCACGGGCAACUUUAUAACCGACUUAUUUGAUUUUAUAUAAAUUAUACAGGAUGAGGUCGCUGAAGAGUCACCAACAGAGGAACCACAGAUUAUUGUGAACAAUUCUGAGAUCACCAGUAUGUAUAGGGUAAUGCGAACACAUCCUGAGUCGUCUCUUUCUUUCAUUUCCGGAUAUGUUAUAUACGACCUGUGGCUGAGUGCGGCGCGGUCGUCGGCUGUCCCCUGUGACGUCACGGUCAUAUAUUUCUGGCAGUGGUUAGAACAAAAGCACAUGAUGAUUUGCUUUUAUUUAAAAUGGCGUCGCAAUAAAAAAAUAAACAAUCUAUUUUUAACAUACAUAAAUACGAAGACGAUUUAGAUAAUUGCGAAAUUAUAACUUCAAUUUUUCAAUUUUAUCUUUUUAGCACAAGUUCGACAAACGUACGUUUGAAAAAUUUAUAAUUAAACGGGCCUAAUAUUUAUGUUAUUUAAGAUAAAAUUUGAUGACUAAGAGUUUGCAAGAUCGAUAAUAUUAAUUAAUUAAAAGUUGCCUAAUAAUUUCCAGGCCGAAUCUACUUGGCAGUUGCCACACAGUUUGGUCGCAUAUUCGACGUAAAUUUUAGGACCUAUUUUUAUUUUCAUUUGUAGAAUACAUAGCGGAAUACAUUUGAAUUAGUAUAGUUUGAAUGAAAUCUCGAAGAGCAAAUCUGUAAAUUGUUUUUUUCUAUGGUUUACCAGUUCGUGGUGACAUCUCUUAUUUAUUUUUACACAAACUUUAACUGUGAACAUUUAACAGUAACACUGAUUAUGAAUAUAAGUUCUAUACAAGUUUACUCCGCGGCUUGUCUCUCUCCACAUAAUAUUCGACACAGCAAACAUUACUUAUUUCACUGUAUGUUUAUCUUUAUUACCGACUCUAUAUUUCUUGUAAAAAUCUGGUAAUAAAGAACUGUUUGCUUGCCUGUUAUUUUAUUUCUGCUGACGGAUGUAUAACCAAUAAAUAUAUAUUGAAUCCU